AUGGUCUCGGAGUUGAAGCCACCAGGAGGGAGAUACAUCAGCAUGGUACGUCGACAUGGCAGCAGACACUUCCCCGCUAAAAAAGAAGAAGAUAGCAAGCAGCACGCCCUUUCUGCAGCCGGUAUAAAAAACAGCACAGUGCAUUUUCUACAGCUGGCCUUUUUCUAUGGAAUAACUGGCAUUCAUGCACGCCAUCAUCUGCUACAGAACAGGACUGUUUCCAUUUUUUUUAAAAAGGCAUCAUCCAUACUCCUAACCUUAGUUUGCCAAAAAGAAAGAAAAUGCUGCGCUGGCGCAACCAAUUGGGCGGGUGCCAUGUACAGAGAAACAUAA
This 333-nucleotide ribosomal RNA is filed under the name Triticum aestivum (bread wheat). RNAcentral's name for it is "partial small subunit ribosomal RNA". The record is from RNAcentral. Lineage: Eukaryota; Viridiplantae; Streptophyta; Magnoliopsida; Poales; Poaceae.